UGUCCGAUGGUGGAAUUGGCAAACACGCUGGUCUUUGAAACCAGUGUCCCACAAGGACUUGUAGGUUCGAACCCUACUCGGACAGC
RNAcentral lists this transfer RNA (86 nucleotides) under uncultured marine phage. RNAcentral describes it as "tRNA-Gln". It matches the Rfam family "tRNA". From Rfam's summary of the family: Transfer RNA (tRNA) molecules are approximately 80 nucleotides in length. The record is from RNAcentral.